AUAAGGAAGCUUCUAACUGAAUAUAUUAAAAAAGAAAAGAAAAAAAAGAGGAAAACUACCAAAGCAGGGUACCGUGUACCUUCCAUGAUAAAGGUUACUAGCGAUGUAUAACGAUCAGUAACUAGAUAAUGGUCGUCUUCGUUAACGGAGAUGUCAGAUAGAUUAUUCCCCCCACAGUUUCUCUUUACUCCCACCUACACGAAUUGUUCCCUCUUAUCAGAUCACGACAAACAGAUAGACACAGAUAGAUAAACGGACGGACGGACGAAACGACCGACCGACCGACCGACCGACCGACUGACUGAAUGACUGACUGACGAAAAGUUAAAGUUCGAUCACGUUUUGUCAAAUUUGUAACACGAAGAGAAAGAAGAUUUAAUUAAUUUUUGAUUUAACGUUAUUUAAAAAUUCGUGCGUGUGUAAAUAUACAUUAUCGUUGAUUGAACAAAAACUCAAGUGACAUUUUUUUGAGAUAAUACAUUUCGAGAACAUUAAAAUAUCAGAGCUCUCUUUCUCUCUCUCUCUCUCUCUCUCUCUCUCUCUUUCUUUCUCUUUCUUUCUCUUUUUUUCUUUCUUUCUUUCUUUUACGUGCAAACGUAAAAUAUUGUGACGGGAAACAAGAAGAAUAAAGAGGGAUAGAGAUCAAAAAGAAAAAGAAAGAAAAAAAAAAUAAUAACUUAACACUCUCGAGUUUAUCGUUAUGUAAAUAAUAAUAAAAGAAAAAAAAAAAAAAAAAAAAAGAAACAAAAAAAGAAAAAUAAGAAAAAGAAAGAAAACGUCUGAGUGCAGUGAUAAUCGCAAAUUAUAAAAAACGAUGAUAUAUUUUCAAGCAGUCUUGUUCACGUUAUCUCGAAAUAUUUAAUUUACUUUUGCUAAACGUCUUAAGGGAGAACAUUUUUAUUAAGUGAACAUUCUUGAUUUCUUGUUUGGAUUAGUACGUUGGAAAAUUUUCUACGACCUUUCCUCCGUUUAAAAUACAAAUAAAGAAAAGAAAAUCUAUUAUCGUUGAUUUGCGUUCUUGUUCCAUUUUAUCCCUUAAAUUUAUCUAAAAAGAUAAGAGAAAACAAGAGAGUGAGAGAGAAAAAAGAGAAAGAAAGAAAAAGAGAAAGUAGUAAAUACGUGUCCUAAAGGAAAAUACACGAGUAUAUUAUCGACGUUUACGAUGAGAAAAAAAGAAAUGCAUUAUAUGUUAUGCACAUAAAUAGGAAAAUAACUAAGUGUUUUCGCGUUAUCUAACAAAUGGCAAUAUUAUAAGCGUGGACGUAUUUAUUUCGACGAUUGUAUGUGGAUUAACGUCGACGAGACCAGAUGUGUUAAUAAUAAUAAUAAUAAUAAUAAUAAUAAUAAUAAUAAUAAUAAUAAUAAUAAUAAUAAUAAUAAUAACAAUAAUAAUAAUAAUAAUAAUAAUAAUAAUAAUAAUAAUAA
Molecule: long non-coding RNA, 1425 nt
Organism: Vespa crabro (European hornet)
Lineage: Eukaryota; Metazoa; Arthropoda; Insecta; Hymenoptera; Vespidae
Exons: 2
Source: RefSeq, a predicted model, not a curated record